This 308-nucleotide ribosomal RNA is filed under the name uncultured bacterium. RNAcentral describes it as "bacterial SSU rRNA". It matches the Rfam family "Bacterial small subunit ribosomal RNA", at positions 60 to 370 of the family's 1533-position model. The record is from RNAcentral.
AGUCGAGCGGAUGAAAGGAGCUUGCUCCUGGAUUCAGCGGCGGACGGGUGAGUAAUGCCUAGGAAUCUGCCUGGUAGUGGGGGAUAACGUCCGGAAACGGACGCUAAUACCGCAUACGUCCUACGGGAGAAAGCAGGGGACCUUCGGGCCUUGCGCUAUCAGAUGAGCCUAGGUCGGAUUAGCUAGUUGGUGAGGUAAUGGCUCACCAAGGCGACGAUCCGUAACUGGUCUGAGAGGAUGAUCAGUCACACUGGAACUGAGACACGGUCCAGACUCCUACGGGAGGCAGCAGUGGGGAAUAUUGGACA